Molecule: long non-coding RNA, 1122 nt
Organism: Oryza sativa Japonica Group (Japanese rice)
Lineage: Eukaryota; Viridiplantae; Streptophyta; Magnoliopsida; Poales; Poaceae
Source: RefSeq, a predicted model, not a curated record
AAACAUAUCUUUAUCAUCACUUAGAUUAAUAUGCACAAUAUAGCAACCAAGUUAUACCCUAGCACAAGGUUUUGACCCACUAAUGCUGUUUUAAAAGAUAUAUUAAGUGAAUCAAAAUUUAUAACAGUUAUAACUGAUACACUUUUCAUGCGAACUUUGUUAUAUAGAGAAGGUUACUUAGUAUGGAAAAUUUUCAGAUAAACUAUCGAUCAAGACAUCAAGUAUUCCCUGUAUCCAGUUUUUGCUUCAUAGGGAAUUAGGGAUUGACCAAAGUCGAACUCACCAGGAUUAGUGUAAGGGCCCAUACUAUGUGUGCUUGGGCCUGGGCUUGUACGUGGACCAAACAUCAGGUUUCAUUGUCCUAAGGAAAAAGUACACCAAAGGUCCCUCAACUUGUCAUCGAGCUACAAAAUCAUCCCUCAACCACAAAACCGGAUACAACGCAUCUUCUAACUUACAAAACCAGUAUAAACUGGGUCCCUCGAUGGUUUUGACCUGGUUUUAUCCAACGUGGCGGCUGAAUCAGCGUGAGACCCACGUGGACCCCACGUGUCAGGAUGCCACGUCGGCAAGCCAUCCUCUCUCUUCCUCUCCUUUCCUCUCUCUCACUCUUCUCUCUGACUCUAGGCAGGCCGGCCGGCGGGCGGCGGUGACGUGGGAGAAGGGGAAGAUGGCGGCAGGGCGAGGCGGUGUCGAUGAGCGAGUGCGGUGGCGGAGAGGCGGCGACAGCUGCCACGCAGGAGGGGAGGCCGGCGCCGACCCAGAAGCGGAAGCCGAAGGCGACGGUGUGGGCGAGCGUGGAGGCAGAGGAAGGCCAUGGCGACGAAGGCCGCGUGCGCGACGUGUCCGCUCCGCAAGGGGCUCCUCCGGGAGGCCACCGCCAUCACCGAGUGCCUCCACACCUGUAUGGAAGUUUGCUGAUGUGUUGUUAACAAUUUGCUCGAAGUCAUCGAAGAACUGAAGAUGUGGUUUGGGGUGGUUCAUUAUGCAACAAAGGUAAAGUUAUCUAGUCCAAAGUGAAAAGAUUGGACAAAGGAUAGUCCAAAGUGAAACUUUGACAAUAAAAUAUGACCCAAAGUGAAAUUAACUCUUAAUAUAUAUACGAGGCAAAACUUUUUCCCU